This 799-nucleotide ribosomal RNA is filed under the name Lactobacillus delbrueckii. RNAcentral describes it as "bacterial SSU rRNA". It matches the Rfam family "Bacterial small subunit ribosomal RNA", at positions 49 to 817 of the family's 1533-position model. The record is from RNAcentral. Lineage: Bacteria; Bacillati; Bacillota; Bacilli; Lactobacillales; Lactobacillaceae.
UAAUACAUGCAAGUCGAGCGAGCUGAAUUCAAAGAUCCCUUCGGGGUGAUUUGUUGGACGCUAGCGGCGGAUGGGUGAGUAACACGUGGGCAAUCUGCCCUAAAGACUGGGAUACCACUUGGAAACAGGUGCUAAUACCGUAUAACAACAUGAAUCGCAUGGAUCAAGUUUGAAAGGUGGCGCAAGCUGUCACUUUAGGAUGAGCCCGCGGCGCAUUAGCUAGUUGGUGGGGUAAAGGCCUACCAAGACGAUGAUACGUAGCCGACCUGAGAGAGUAAUCGGCCACAUUGGGACUGAGACACGGCCCAAACUCCUACGGGAGGCAGCAGUAGGGAAUCUUCCACAAUGGACGCAAGUCUGAUGGAGCAACGCCGCGUGAGUGAAGAAGGGCUUCGGCUCGUAAAACUCUGUUGUUGGAGAAGAAGAAUUGUGGCAGUAACUGUUCUUUAUUUGACGGUAUUCAACCAGAAAGUCACGGCUAACUACGUGCCAGCAGCCGCGGUAAUACGUAGGUGGCAAGCGUUGUCCGGAUUUAUUGGGCGUAAAGCGAGCGCAGGCGGUUUGAUAAGUCUGAUGUGAAAGCCCUCGGCUUAACCGUAGAAGUGCAUCGGAAACUGUGAUUCUUGAGUGCAGAAGAGGACAGUGGAACUCCAUGUGUAGCGGUGGAAUGCGUAGAUAUAUGGAAGAACACCAGUGGCGAAGGCGGCUCUCUGGUCUGCAACUGACGCUGAGGCUCGAAAGCAUGGGUAGCGAACAGGAUUAGAUACCCUGGUAGUCCAUGCCGUAAACGAUGAGCGCU